UACGGGGGGGGCAAGCGUUGUUCGGAAUUACUGGGCGUAAAGGGCUCGUAGGCGGCCAACUAAGUCAGACGUGAAAUCCCUCGGCUUAGCCGGGGAACUGCGUCUGAUACUGGAUGGCUUGAGUGUGGGAGAGGGAUGCGGAAUUCCAGGUGUAGCGGUGAAAUGCGUAGAUAUCAGGAAGAACACCCGUGGCUAAGGCGGCUCUCUAGUACGGUACUGACGCUGAGACGCGAAAGCGUGGGGAGCGAACAGG
RNAcentral lists this ribosomal RNA (253 nucleotides) under uncultured bacterium. Its description in RNAcentral is "partial 16S ribosomal RNA". It matches the Rfam family "Bacterial small subunit ribosomal RNA", at positions 524 to 776 of the family's 1533-position model. The record is from RNAcentral.